Molecule: ribosomal RNA, 500 nt
Filed under: uncultured bacterium
Lineage: Bacteria
Description: partial 16S ribosomal RNA
Rfam family: Bacterial small subunit ribosomal RNA
Source: RNAcentral
AUUGAACGCUGGCGGCAUGCCUUACACAUGCAAGUCGAACGGCAGCACGGGAGCAAUCCUGGUGGCGAGUGGCGAACGGGUGAGUAAAGUAUCGGAACGUGCCCAGUCGUGGGGGAUAACGUAGCGAAAGUUACGCUAAUACCGCAUCCGCUCUAUGGAUGAAAGCGGGGGAUCGCAAGACCUCGCGCGAUUGGAGCGGCCGAUAUCAGAUUAGGUAGUUGGUGGGGUAAAGGCUCACCAAGCCGACGAUCUGUAGCUGGUCUGAGAGGACGACCAGCCACACUGGGACUGAGACACGGCCCAGACUCCUACGGGAGGCAGCAGUGGGGAAUUUUGGACAAUGGGCGAAAGCCUGAUCCAGCCAUGCCGCGUGCAGGAUGAAGGCCUUCGGGUUGUAAACUGCUUUUGUACGGAACGAAAAGGUUUGGCCUAAUAAGCUGAGCUCAUGACGGUACCGUAAGAAUAAGCACCGGCUAACUACGUGCCAGCAGCCGCCGUAA